Molecule: ribosomal RNA, 497 nt
Filed under: uncultured bacterium
Lineage: Bacteria
Description: partial 16S ribosomal RNA
Rfam family: Bacterial small subunit ribosomal RNA
Source: RNAcentral
GACGAACGCUGGCGGCGUGCCUAAUACAUGCAAGUAGAACGCUGAAGAGAGGAGCUUGCUCUUCUUGGAUGAGUUGCGAACGGGUGAGUAACGCGUAGGUAACCUGCCUUGUAGCGGGGGAUAACUAUUGGAAACGAUAGCUAAUACCGCAUAACAAUGGAUGACACAUGUCAUUUAUUUGAAAGGGGCAAUUGUUCCACUACAAGAUGGACCUGCGUUGUAUUAGCUAGUAGGUGAGGUAAUGGCUCACCUAGGCGACGAUACAUAGCCGACCUGAGAGGGUGAUCGGCCACACUGGGACUGAGACGCGGCCCAGACUCCUACGGGAGGCAGCAGUAGGGAAUCUUCGGCAAUGGGGGCAACCCUGACCGAGCAACGCCGCGUGAGUGAAGAAGGUUUUCGGAUCGUAAAGCUCUGUUGUAAGUCAAGAACGGGUGUGAGAGUGGAAAGUUCACACUGUGACGGUAGCUUACCAGAAAGGGACGGCUAACUACGUG